AUAUGGUUUGUUGAUUCUGUUUCAGUCUUGCUCCAGUGCAUCAGCAGAUUCUAUGAGGAGAUUUAAGAGCACAAUUGAUGGUGAAUAGAUUAUACUGUAAAUUCCUGAGAUGCUCAAUUUUUCCACCUUCAACUUUUAGAAGCAAACCAGGUCGCAGGUACGUCUGCAAACUGUCCCCCGCAAGUCAGAAGAGGGGAAGAUCCAUCCAAAGUGCAAUUAGACAUGCAAAUUCAUCCAUGCAGUCAGGUCCGACGAGAAAACACAGCAUGAGAACACAGGUAAAAUGCACCGCCGCCCCCAAACGGAG
Long non-coding RNA from Phalaenopsis equestris, 307 nucleotides. RefSeq lists it as uncharacterized. The record is from RefSeq and is a predicted model, not a curated record. The transcript has 3 exons. Lineage: Eukaryota; Viridiplantae; Streptophyta; Magnoliopsida; Asparagales; Orchidaceae.